RNAcentral lists this ribosomal RNA (462 nucleotides) under uncultured bacterium. Its description in RNAcentral is "bacterial SSU rRNA". It matches the Rfam family "Bacterial small subunit ribosomal RNA", at positions 338 to 795 of the family's 1533-position model. The record is from RNAcentral.
CCUACGGGGGGCUGCAGUCGAGAAUCUUCGGCAAUGGGCGAAAGCCUGACCGAGCGACGCCGCGUGCGGGAUGAAGGCCUUCGGGUUGUAAACCGCUGUCAGAGGGGAUGAAGUGCUGAUGGGUACUCCCGUCAGCUUGACUGAUCCUCAGAGGAAGGGUGGGCUAAGUUCGUGCCAGCAGCCGCGGUAAGACGUACCACCCAAACGUUAUUCGGAAUCACUGGGCUUAAAGAGUCCGUAGGCGGCUCGGAAAGUUGGAUGUGAAAUACCUCGGCUCAACCGAGGAACAGCAUUCAAAACUGCCGAGCUUGAGAGAGACAGAGGUAAGCGGAACUGAUGGUGGAGCGGUGAAAUGCGUUGAUAUCAUCAGGAACACCGGUGGCGAAAGCGGCUUACUGGGUCUUUUCUGACGCUGAGGGACGAAAGCUAGGGGAGCGAACGGGAUUAGAUACCCCAGUAGUC